This 446-nucleotide ribosomal RNA is filed under the name uncultured bacterium. RNAcentral describes it as "partial 16S ribosomal RNA". It matches the Rfam family "Bacterial small subunit ribosomal RNA", at positions 338 to 795 of the family's 1533-position model. The record is from RNAcentral.
CCUACGGGUGGCAGCAGUCGAGAAUCAUUCACAAUGGGGGAAACCCUGAUGCUGCGACGCCGCGUGGGGGAAUGAAGGUCUUCGAAUUGUAAACCCCUGUCAUGUGGGAGCAAAUUAAAUAGGUAGAACCACAAGAGGAAGAGACUGCUAACUCUGUGCCAGCAGCCGCGGUAAUACAGAGGUCUCAAGCGUUGUUCGGAAUCACUGGGCGUAAAGCGUGCGACGGCUGUUUCGUAAGUCGUGUGUGAAAGGCGCGGGCUCAACCGGCGGACGGCACAUGAUACUGCGAGACUAGAGUAAGGGAGGGGGAAGCGGAAUUCUCGGUGUAGCAGUGAAAUGCGUAGAUAUCUGGAGGAACACUCGUGGCGAAGGCGGGUUCCUGGACAUUAACUGACGCUGAGGCACGAAGGCCAGGGGAGCGAAAGGGAUUAGAUACCCGAGUAGUC